This 148-nucleotide non-coding RNA is filed under the name Gorilla gorilla gorilla (western lowland gorilla). The record is from Rfam by way of RNAcentral. Lineage: Eukaryota; Metazoa; Chordata; Mammalia; Primates; Hominidae.
GCCAGGCGUGGUGGCGGGCGCCUGUAAUCCCAGCUACUCAGGAGGCUGAGGCAGGAGAAUCGCUUGAACCCAGGAGGCAGAGGUUUCAGUGAGCCCAGAUUGUGCCACUGCACUCUAACCUGGGAAACAGAGUGAGACUCUGUCUCAN